GUUGUGAUCUACCUGGCUGGCCCUCUUCAUAAGCUCAUUUCCUCAAACACCAAUCCACAUACUACUGCUGCUGCUGGGCUAGUGAAUGAGGGAAACCCUUCGUACUAAACAUCGAUGGAGAAAACACCCGACUGAGUUCCUGCUGACUUCAGCUGACAGUCCUGGUUGAUCCUCUAUUAAUACAUCCAUGGGCUGAGCCAGUUGGUUUGGAUUUCCGUGUGUUAUGUGAUAACGUUACAGCAAUUAUCGUGUGAUCUCGUAGAUAUCGCGAAAACCCAGCUGCCGUGCAAAGUAAGUAGCUAGUUAACGUUAAUGAAACACAGCUGUAACAACAUCCGCAACUCAUAACCAUGGGCACGGCACUUCACAGCGUAAUGCGAUGCUGGUGAAGCCGCUGCUGUUUCCUUGGAUACGAGCACUGGCUUGUUAGCAUGCUAGCUAACUUCCAUUACCUUCUGACAGGCUGUUAGCUUAGUUAGCUUAGUUAGCUAGCAAGUGUUAAAGCAGAGACAGUUCGAGAAGGUUAAACCCAGCUAGGUUAACGACAGGCUCCGGCAACUAUUUAGCUAGGAAGUUACAUGCUCGUUAUUGUGUAGGAAGUUACAUGCUCGUUAUUGUGUAGGAAGUUACAUGCUCGUUAUUGUGUAGGAAGUUACAUGCUCGUUAUUGUGUAGGAAGUUACAUGCUUGUUAUUGUGUAGGAAGUUACAUGCUCGUUAUUGUGUAGGAAGUUACAUGCUCGUUAUUGUGUAGGAAGUUACAUGCUCGUUAUUGUGUAGGAAGUUACAUGCUCGUUAUUGUGUACUAACACUAGAGUGUUAAGUGAAUGAAGCUUUGCGGCGUGUGGGGCUUUUCUUUAUUUUUGUACCG
This is a long non-coding RNA of Etheostoma spectabile (orangethroat darter), 869 nucleotides long. RefSeq lists it as uncharacterized. The record is from RefSeq and is a predicted model, not a curated record. The transcript has 2 exons. NCBI's taxonomy places the organism in Eukaryota, Metazoa, Chordata, Actinopteri, Perciformes, Percidae.